Styela clava is the source of this 641-nucleotide non-coding RNA. The record is from RefSeq and is a predicted model, not a curated record. Lineage: Eukaryota; Metazoa; Chordata; Ascidiacea; Stolidobranchia; Styelidae.
CGGGCUUUUGGCUGCGAGAAUCGAUACCGUAUUUAACGGAUUUUUAUGUUGAAAGCGAUUGUUAGUGGCUAUUAGAGUAGUGCAGAAUAAUUAUGGGUUCUGCAGUAUUCGUGGCAUAUAGGUUGGGCGGAAAAUAUUAAAACAAGAACAGUACACAGCGAGCACACAACUUGACGAACAUGGAUGGGAAAAGCAGCACCACAAGGAUAGAAUUUACUCUCAACUGAAGAACUGCAAAAGAUUUGUCGCUGUCGAGAAGAUUGGUAUCAUCAGCAAACAAUUUGGUAAAGAAGGAGGAACAACAAGUUAUGUCAUUUACAUAGACUAGAAAUAGAAGAGGACCCAAGCAACUACCUUGAGGAACUCCGUGAGUCACUGAUUUGAAAAGAGGGAUCACUCGGGCAAUUUUGAGACAUGCAGGGAAGAUUCCAAACAAAAGUGAACAAUUGAAGAAUUCAGCCAAACAUGGUGCAAUGAGAUCAGCAACUAAUUUAAGGAAACGUGCUGGAGCGUUCGGAAGUGUUCCCUUUCAAAAAGUGGGAUUCAAACAUCUUAUUUUUGUGGCGAAUAGAAGCAAGCAGCCCUUUGGUUAGCCAUGGUUUUGAUCGUAUCCUUUUUUGACGACGUGAGAGUGGUCGAAG